Molecule: ribosomal RNA, 253 nt
Filed under: uncultured bacterium
Lineage: Bacteria
Description: partial 16S ribosomal RNA
Rfam family: Bacterial small subunit ribosomal RNA
Source: RNAcentral
UACGGAAGGGGCAAGCGUUGUUCGGAAUCAUUGGGCGUAAAGGGCGCGUAGGUGGUUCUGUAUGUCUAUCGUGAAAGCGUACGGCUCAACCGUAUUUUGUCGGUAGAAACUGCAGGACUUGAGGCUGGGAGGGGCUGGUGGAAUUCCCUGUGUAGCAGUGAAAUGCGUAGAGAUGGGGGAGAACACUCGUGGCGAAGGCGGCCAGCUAGACCAGUUCUGACACUGAGGCGCGACAGCGUGGGGAGCAAACAGG